UCGGGCCUGGGGAUUACGGGCUCC
This 24-nucleotide non-coding RNA is filed under the name Arabidopsis thaliana (thale cress). Lineage: Eukaryota; Viridiplantae; Streptophyta; Magnoliopsida; Brassicales; Brassicaceae. The record is from RNAcentral.